Molecule: ribosomal RNA, 253 nt
Filed under: uncultured bacterium
Lineage: Bacteria
Description: partial 16S ribosomal RNA
Rfam family: Bacterial small subunit ribosomal RNA
Source: RNAcentral
UACGGAGGGUGCAAGCGUUGCUCGGAAUUACUGGGCGUAAAGCGUACGCAGGCGGAUCGUUAAGUCGAGUGUGAAAGCCCGGGGCUCAACCCCGGAACUGCAUUCGAUACUGGCGAUCUUGAGUACGGGAGAGGGAAGUGGAAUUCCUGGUGUAGAGGUGAAAUUCGUAGAUAUCAGGAGGAACACCUGUGGCGAAAGCGGCUUCCUGGCCCGAUACUGACGCUCAUGUACGAAAGCGUGGGGAGCAAACAGG